UUCGAAGGGGGCUAGCGUUGCUCGGAAUCACUGGGCGUAAAGGGUGCGUAGGCGGGUCUUUAAGUCAGGGGUGAAAUCCUGGAGCUCAACUCCAGAACUGCCUUUGAUACUGAAGAUCUUGAGUUCGGGAGAGGUGAGUGGAACUGCGAGUGUAGAGGUGAAAUUCGUAGAUAUUCGCAAGAACACCAGUGGCGAAGGCGGCUCACUGGCCCGAUACUGACGCUGAGGCACGAAAGCGUGGGGAGCAAACAGG
Molecule: ribosomal RNA, 253 nt
Filed under: uncultured bacterium
Lineage: Bacteria
Description: partial 16S ribosomal RNA
Rfam family: Bacterial small subunit ribosomal RNA
Source: RNAcentral